UGGAAAAAGCGGCGGAGGCGGUGGACGUAGAGGCGGUGGCGGCGGUACAGGUGGAUACGUUGGCGGUGGAAGUGAAGGUGACAGCGAGAAAAGUGAAGAAUAAAAUACUGAAGAAGAAACAUGAAGCAAAAUACAGUGUGGAAGAUUAAGAAUUCUUAAUUUUCUCUUGAUUUUGAUGAUCAAUAAAAAUGUAAAUUAAAACUGA
This is a long non-coding RNA of Centruroides sculpturatus (bark scorpion), 205 nucleotides long. RefSeq lists it as uncharacterized. NCBI's taxonomy places the organism in Eukaryota, Metazoa, Arthropoda, Arachnida, Scorpiones, Buthidae. The record is from RefSeq and is a predicted model, not a curated record. The transcript has 3 exons.